Molecule: ribosomal RNA, 253 nt
Filed under: uncultured bacterium
Lineage: Bacteria
Description: partial 16S ribosomal RNA
Rfam family: Bacterial small subunit ribosomal RNA
Source: RNAcentral
UACAGAGGGGGCAAGCGUUGUUCGGAAUUACUGGGCGUAAAGGGCGCGUAGGCGGCCUGCUAAGUCGAACGUGAAAUCCCCGGGCUCAACCCGGGAACUGCGUCCGAUACUGGCUGGCUUGAAUUCGGGAGAGGGAUGCGGAAUUCCAGGUGUAGCGGUGAAAUGCGUAGAUAUCUGGAGGAACACCGGUGGCGAAGGCGGCAUCCUGGACCGAGAUUGACGCUGAUGCGCGAAAGCCAGGGGAGCAAACGGG